GGGCAGUUAGAUCAGUUGGAAGAUCGUUACAUUGGCAUUGUAGAGGUCGCGAGUUCGAAUCUCGCACUGUCCACCA
This 76-nucleotide transfer RNA is filed under the name Candidatus Methanomethylophilaceae archaeon. RNAcentral's name for it is "tRNA-Ala". It matches the Rfam family "tRNA". From Rfam's summary of the family: Transfer RNA (tRNA) molecules are approximately 80 nucleotides in length. Their secondary structure includes four short double-helical elements and three loops (D, anti-codon, and T loops). The record is from RNAcentral. Lineage: Archaea; Methanobacteriati; Thermoplasmatota; Thermoplasmata; Methanomassiliicoccales; Methanomethylophilaceae.